This 459-nucleotide long non-coding RNA is filed under the name Phoenix dactylifera (date palm). RNAcentral describes it as "long non-coding RNA (PDAC_LNC003834)". Lineage: Eukaryota; Viridiplantae; Streptophyta; Magnoliopsida; Arecales; Arecaceae. The record is from RNAcentral.
AGUGAGAGAUCGAGCAGGUAGGAUCACAAGGAGGGAGAUGAGAAGAAGGUGAGGGUGAGGGUAAUACUAGCACAGAUCUCUAAGCAAUCUGGAGAGGGAGGGGGUUGGGUGAAGAAGAAGCCGGAGCUCUAUAGAAUGUUCUAGAGAGCUCGAAGGAUUAGUUAUAUCGACAUGGAUCUCAAAGCGAUCCGAUGGUAGAUGGGGAGAUCAACAUAUUGGUACAGACCUCGAAGCAUUUCGGUAGCAAAUGUGAGGAGAGGGUGAGGGUGAGGGAAAAUAUUGGCAUAGAUCUCAAAGUGAUCCAGUAGGAGCGGGAGAUUGGGUGGGUAGGAUCAUGAGGAGAGAGAUGAGAAGAAGGUGAGGGUGAGAGAAAUACUGGCACAGAUCUCAAAACAAUCUAAAGGAGGGGACGGUUCGAGCGGGUGGUGGAGGGGCUCUACUGCGCCGAAGAUGGGAGAU